This 89-nucleotide transfer RNA is filed under the name Clostridia bacterium. RNAcentral describes it as "tRNA-Ser". It matches the Rfam family "tRNA". From Rfam's summary of the family: Transfer RNA (tRNA) molecules are approximately 80 nucleotides in length. Their secondary structure includes four short double-helical elements and three loops (D, anti-codon, and T loops). Lineage: Bacteria; Bacillati; Bacillota; Clostridia. The record is from RNAcentral.
GGAGAGGUAUCGAAGCGGUCAUAACGAGGCGGUCUUGAAAACCGUUUGUCCGAAAGUGCGCGUGGGUUCGAAUCCCACCCUCUCGGCCA